GCAGUCGAACGAUGAAGCCUUUCGGGGUGGAUUAGUGGCGAACGGGUGAGUAACACGUGGGCAAUCUGCCCUUCACUCUGGGACAAGCCCUGGAAACGGGGUCUAAUACCGGAUGAUACCUUCCUCUGCAUGGGGGUGGGUUGAAAGCUCCGGCGGUGGAGGAUGAGCCCGCGGCCUAUCAGCUUGUUGGUGGGGUGAUGGCCUACCAAGGCGACGACGGGUAGCCGGCCUGAGAGGGCGACCGGCCACACUGGGACUGAGACACGGCCCAGACUCCUACGGGAGGCAGCAGUGGGGAAUAUUGCACAAUGGGCGAAAGCCUGAUGCAGCGACGCCGCGUGAGGGAUGACGGCCUUCGGGUUGUAAACCUCUUUCAGCAGGGAAGAAGCGUGAGUGACGGUACCUGCAGAAGAAGCGCCGGCUAACUACGUGCCAGCAGCCGCGGUAAUACGUAGGGCGCGAGCGUUGUCCGGAAUUAUUGGGCGUAAAGAGCUCGUAGGCGGCUUGUCGCGUCGGAUGUGAAAGCCCGGGGCUUAACCCCGGGUCUGCAUUCGAUACGGGCAGGCUAGAGUGUGGUAGGGGAGAUCGGAAUUCCUGGUGUAGCGGUGAAAUGCGCAGAUAUCAGGAGGAACACCGGUGGCGAAGGCGGAUCUCUGGGCCAUUACUGACG
Molecule: ribosomal RNA, 670 nt
Filed under: Streptomyces odonnellii
Lineage: Bacteria; Bacillati; Actinomycetota; Actinomycetes; Kitasatosporales; Streptomycetaceae
Description: bacterial SSU rRNA
Rfam family: Bacterial small subunit ribosomal RNA
Source: RNAcentral